RNAcentral lists this unclassified non-coding RNA (520 nucleotides) under uncultured Glomus. RNAcentral's name for it is "SSU rRNA". It matches the Rfam family "Eukaryotic small subunit ribosomal RNA", at positions 569 to 1089 of the family's 1831-position model. Lineage: Eukaryota; Fungi; Glomeromycota; Glomeromycetes; Glomerales; Glomeraceae. The record is from RNAcentral.
AGCAGCCGCGGUAAUUCCAGCUCCAAUAGCGUAUAUUAAAGUUGUUGCAGUUAAAAAGCUCGUAGUUGAAUUUCGGGACCAAUUUGUUGGUCGUGCCUCGGUACGUACUGGUAUUAUUGGUUUCUCCCUUCUGAAGAACCAUGAUGCCAUUAAUUUGGUGUCGUGGGGAAUCAGGACUGUUACUUUGAAAAAAAUUAGAGUGUUUAAAGCAGGCAUACGCUUGAAUACAUUAGCAUGGAAUAAUGAAAUAGGACGUUUGAUUCUAUUUUUGUUGGUUUCUAGGAUCGACGUAAUGAUUAAUAGGGAUAGUUGGGGGCAUUAGUAUUCAAUUGUCAGAGGUGAAAUUCUUGGAUUUAUUGAAGACUAACUACUGCGAAAGCAUUUGCCAAGGAUGUUUUCAUUAAUCAAGAACGAAAGUUAGGGGAUCGAAGACGAUCAGAUACCGUCGUAGUCUUAACCAUAAACUAUGCCGACUAGGGAUCGGAUGAUGUUAAUUUUUUAAUGACUCAUUCGGCGCCUU